CACGCUGUAAACGAUGAUAACUGGGUUUUUAGGAUUUACUUCUAAGAGCCUGAGGGAAACCAUUAAGUUAUCCACCUGGGGAGUACGUUCGCAAGUAUGAAACUCAAAGGAAUUGACGGGGGCCCGCACAAGCGGAGGAACAUGUGGUUUAAUUCGAUGAUACGCGAGGAACCUUACCCGGGUUUAAAUGUAGAUUGCAUAAAGUAGAAAUAUUUUUUUCCUUCACAGGACUAUUUACAAGGUGC
RNAcentral lists this ribosomal RNA (245 nucleotides) under uncultured bacterium. Its description in RNAcentral is "partial 16S ribosomal RNA". It matches the Rfam family "Bacterial small subunit ribosomal RNA", at positions 796 to 1041 of the family's 1533-position model. The record is from RNAcentral.